Enhydra lutris kenyoni (northern sea otter) is the source of this 1177-nucleotide RNA transcript. It is a transcript of the gene named coiled-coil domain containing 25, with no coding region annotated. Lineage: Eukaryota; Metazoa; Chordata; Mammalia; Carnivora; Mustelidae. The transcript has 11 exons. The record is from RefSeq and is a predicted model, not a curated record.
GGGGAACAGGAGGCCUCCUCUCUCUGGUAUCCUGAGCUAGCGAGUUGAGUGCUGCUGUUGCGCGCUGGAGUCCCCGCGCCGCCGCCGAGAUCAUGGUGUUCUACUUUACCAGCAACAGCGUUAAUUCAUCUGCUUACACUAUUUACAUGGGAAAGGAUAAAUAUGAAAAUGAAGAUCUAAUAAAGCAUGGCUGGCCUGAAGAUAUUUGGUUUCAUGUGGACAAACUCUCUUCGGCUCAUGUAUACCUUCGAUUACAUAAGGGGGAGAAGAUAGAAGACAUUCCAAAGGAAGUCCUGAUGGACUGUGCCCAUCUUGUGAAGGCCAAUAGCAUUCAAGGCUGCAAGAUGAACAACGUGAAUGUGGUAUAUACACCAUGGUCUAACCUGAAGAAAACCGCUGACAUGGACGUGGGACAGAUAGGCUUUCACAGGCAAAAGGAUGUGAAAAUUGUGACUGUGGAGAAGAAAGUGAAUGAAAUCCUGAACAGAUUAGAAAAGACCAAAAUGGAGCGGUUCCCAGACCUCGCGGCAGAGAAGGAAUGCAGAGACCGAGAAGAGAGGAAUGAGAAAAAAGCCCAAAUUCAGGAAAUGAAAAGGAGAGAGAAGGAAGAGAUGAAGAAGAAGCGGGAAAUGGACGAACUUAGGAGCUAUUCAUCACUAAUGAAAGUUGAGAAUAUGUCUUCAAAUCAGGAUGGCAAUGAUUCAGAUGAAUUCAUGUGAAUGGAGGAAAGGACCUUUGAAAGAUGUGAAUUUCGGGACAGUUGCAGACGGCCUCCUGGAAAUGAAUUCUCCUGGACGGACACCACCAGAACGCUGCAGAAUCAAGACCUGAAGGGAAGGGCCAGCAGGUGGCAGGAGAGAACAGCACGGGUCUCAGCUUCUGUCCAGUUGUGGUUCCAGCUGUCAACUCAUUCAGCCUCUAGCUUUAAGGGAAAGCCCGUAAGGACGGGCAUUCAUGCACAGAUUUCAUAGAAUAAUGGAUUUUCAUAGAAACGUGCCAUGGAGUUUGGAAGGGACCUUGAAGGUCACCAAAGGCGAUGGAUCUCUUUGUGCCCUUUACGACAUCCUCUUACAGAACUCCUUCAGUGUCAGCAUGAAAACAUUCAGAGACAGGAAGCUCAGUACUUUCUAAAGCCGUUUGUCCAGGAGCACCUGGAUGGCUCCGUCGGUUAAGUUCC